UUGCCCUGCAGACAGGGAUAACAGACGGAAACGACUGAUAACACCUGGUAUUGUCAGGCUGGCGCAUGCCGGCCUGAUGAAAGGAGACGCUGCAGGAGAGCCUUGCGUCCUAUUAGCUAGUUGGUGGGGUAACGGCCCACCAAGGCGAUGAUAGGUAGCCGGCCUGAGAGGGUGAACGGCCACAAGGGGACUGAGAUACGGCCCUUACUCCUACGGGAGGCAGCAGUGGGGAAUAUUGGACAAUGGGGGCAACCCUGAUCCAGCAAUUCUGUGUGCACGAAGAAGGUUUUCGGAUUGUAAAGUGCUUUCAGCAGGGAAGAAGAAAGUGACGGUACCUGCAGAAGAAGCGACGGCUAAAUACGUGCCAGCAGCCGCGGUAAUACGUAUGUCGCAAGCGUUAUCCGGAAUUAUUGGGCAUAAAGGGCAUCUAGGCGGCCCUGUAAGUCUAGGGUGAAAACCUGCGGCUCAACCGCAGGCCUGCCCCGGAAACUACAGGGCUAGAGUAUCGGAGAGGUGGACGGAACUGCACGAGUAGAGGUGAAAUUCGUAGAUAUGUGCAGGAAUGCCGAUGAUGAAGAUAGUUCACUGGACGGUAACUGACGCUGAAGUGCGAAAGCUAGGGGAGCAAACAGGAUUAGAUACCCUGGUAGUCCUAGCUGUAAACGAUGAUUACUGGGUGUGGGCAUGAAGAGUGUCCGUGCCGAAGCAAAUGCGAUAAGUAAUCCGCCUGGGGAGUACGGCCGCAAGGCUGAAACUCAAAGGAAUUGACGGU
This 772-nucleotide ribosomal RNA is filed under the name uncultured bacterium. RNAcentral describes it as "bacterial SSU rRNA". It matches the Rfam family "Bacterial small subunit ribosomal RNA", at positions 126 to 917 of the family's 1533-position model. The record is from RNAcentral.